This is a long non-coding RNA of Prosopis cineraria, 1209 nucleotides long. RefSeq lists it as uncharacterized. The record is from RefSeq and is a predicted model, not a curated record. NCBI's taxonomy places the organism in Eukaryota, Viridiplantae, Streptophyta, Magnoliopsida, Fabales, Fabaceae. The transcript has 3 exons.
CAGCCACAUCAUCUCUUCAACCCAUGAAGCCACCUCAUCCCAUACACAAUAUGAGAUUCGUAAAUUCAGACAUCCCUUUACGAGAAGGUCCGCACAGAGAUUCCAACCUUUCAAUCUCUACCAUAUGUUGGUCGACCAAGGUAUCAACUUUCAUCUUCCCCUUUAAUUGAUUCAUUAGCUCCAAUGACUCUACCUCCACCUGCACUUUUCAAAAUCCAUACUCCCAAGCUAAAAGUAGUCCCUUAUAUAAACCCCAUCCUUCAACCACCAGAGCCGAGCACCACCCAACAUCCAUCGUGAAACCCUACACCCGAUCUCCUUCAUGAUUCCUAAGUACACCACCAUAACUUGCUAUCCCCGGAUUACCUCUACUAACCCCAUCCGUGUUGAGUUUUACCCAUCCCUCAACAGGUCUGCACCACUUACUCUCUAAAUCUCCUUUUACCUUACUCAUAAGAUGUAAUGGCAGAGCUUUUACUUUCCAGACCUCUUGCACAAAAGCCCAGAUUUGCCUCACUUGCACCAUCGAGUCAGCUCCUUUAAACACCCUCAAAAAUUAUAGGCCAAGUGUGGAGGUGAGCCAUGAGGCAUUGGAAGCUGAAAGAAGAGUUUUUAAGAUGAUGUUCAUAUGCUUCAAUUCUGCUAAGCCCUAAACACGAGUUUGAAGGAGAAUUGAGUCACCUAGGAAUGAAAGAGGAAGAAAUUCUAAGAAGGAAGAUUCUAUACCACGCGCCGCAGCUUGUGGAUAAGCUGCCACGACACAUGUGUGGCAACACACCUGGAAGAGGCUCUUUGUGCAAUGUGCCACAGCGCAUUAUAUGUUCACCGCGAUGCAUGGUCACUUUUUUGCUAUCAUAAGUCAUGAAAUGAAGCAAAAAACAGAGGAAAAACAAAUGAAACCAAGAGAGAGACGAGAGAGCAAUACUAGGGCUUGGGAAAAUUGAGUAUUGGGAGUAUUUUGAAGCUCAUAAACAUCAAAAGUAAGCUUCUUACACUUAAAUCCUUCUUUCUUCUUCCAUUUUCUUAAUGGUAGAAGUUAGAGUUUGGUUGAUAAUAGUGAUUUUCGGUCCAUAGAGGUUAUGGAUUUGAACUCAUUGACUUAAAUAUAGUUAAUGGGAAUAGAUUGAGCUAAGUAAACUUGAUAUUUAUAAUUAUAUGUUCAUUGGAAUUUGAAGGACAUUAAAUGUUUGAAAUUCUCAUAAAAAUGGU